CUUCUCUACAAGGAUUCCUGGUCUGCGCCUGAGUCUGUUAACUAAACGUGACAGAACGAUCCAGCCAGCAUGGACUCAGCGGGUCAGGAUCCAGCUGCUCAGGACCCUGUCGCUCAGGCUCUCAUCGCUCAGGGAACUGCUCUGGCUCGACAUGAGCAGAUGCUUGAGCAGCUUCGCAACGAGAUAGCGGUGUUCACACAGGCGGUUGCUCGUUUAACUCCUCUGGAAGGCAAACCUCAGCCGGCAGUCCCUGCCCCCCAGGAGCCUCCACCUGCCACCGCUGCAGUCGCCACGAGCCCACCACCGGCACCCGUUCCACCCUUGGAUGGACCCCUGCCUACUCCGGAACCUUUUGCGGGUGGAUGACCGACUACGAGCCCGUCGUUUGCCGUGACAAUACAGUUCCCAGGAGGCCGCGGGGCAGCACAGCUCUUCCCGUCUCCCAGAGGGCGCUGAUGGGGGAGAGCAACCCAUGCAGAUAGGAGGCUCUCAUCUUUCAGCCGCGGAACGCCAGCGUUGCAUCACUGCCGGAGCAGAUGCAGACGAGGUCAGACGAGGAUGAAGUGGAGGCGAAGAUCCACUCGUAGGAUGGCAGGACCGGCCACAUCAUUUCCCAGAAGAAGAUAGUCAUAAUCAUACUUGUUUUUGUUGUGGUAUAAAACUGUAUUACCCGCUUACAGGGUCAUCCUUUUUGUG
Oreochromis aureus is the source of this 696-nucleotide RNA transcript. It is a transcript of the gene named sec-independent protein translocase protein TatB-like, with no coding region annotated. The transcript has 3 exons. NCBI's taxonomy places the organism in Eukaryota, Metazoa, Chordata, Actinopteri, Cichliformes, Cichlidae. The record is from RefSeq and is a predicted model, not a curated record.